RNAcentral lists this ribosomal RNA (563 nucleotides) under uncultured bacterium. Its description in RNAcentral is "bacterial SSU rRNA". It matches the Rfam family "Bacterial small subunit ribosomal RNA", at positions 132 to 689 of the family's 1533-position model. The record is from RNAcentral.
GGUAGUGGGGGAUAACGUCCGGAAACGGACGCUAAUACCGCAUACGUCCUACGGGAGAAAGCAGGGGACCUUCGGGCCUUGCGCUAUCAGAUGAGCCUAGGUCGGAUUAGCUAGUUGGUGGGGUAAUGGCUCACCAAGGCGACGAUCCGUAACUGGUCUGAGAGGAUGAUCAGUCACACUGGAACUGAGACACGGUCCAGACUCCUACGGGAGGCAGCAGUGGGGAAUAUUGGACAAUGGGCGAAAGCCUGAUCCAGCCAUGCCGCGUGUGUGAAGAAGGUCUUCGGAUUGUAAAGCACUUUAAGUUGGGAGGAAGGGCAGUAAAUUAAUACUUUGCUGUUUUGACGUUACCGACAGAAUAAGCACCGGCUAACUCUGUGCCAGCAGCCGCGGUAAUACAGAGGGUGCAAGCGUUAAUCGGAAUUACUGGGCGUAAAGCGCGCGUAGGUGGUUCGUUAAGUUGGAUGUGAAAAUCCCCGGGCUCACCCUGGGAACUGCAUUCAAAACUGACGAGCUAGAGUAUGGUAGAGGGUGGUGGAAUUUCCUGUGUAGCGGUGAAAUGC